Molecule: ribosomal RNA, 660 nt
Filed under: Shigella flexneri
Lineage: Bacteria; Pseudomonadati; Pseudomonadota; Gammaproteobacteria; Enterobacterales; Enterobacteriaceae
Description: bacterial SSU rRNA
Rfam family: Bacterial small subunit ribosomal RNA
Source: RNAcentral
GCCGCAAGGUUAAAACUCAAAUGAAUUGACGGGGGCCCGCACAAGCGGUGGAGCAUGUGGUUUAAUUCGAUGCAACGCGAAGAACCUUACCUGGUCUUGACAUCCACGGAAGUUUUCAGAGAUGAGAAUGUGCCUUCGGGAACCGUGAGACAGGUGCUGCAUGGCUGUCGUCAGCUCGUGUUGUGAAAUGUUGGGUUAAGUCCCGCAACGAGCGCAACCCUUAUCCUUUGUUGCCAGCGGUCCGGCCGGGAACUCAAAGGAGACUGCCAGUGAUAAACUGGAGGAAGGUGGGGAUGACGUCAAGUCAUCAUGGCCCUUACGACCAGGGCUACACACGUGCUACAAUGGCGCAUACAAAGAGAAGCGACCUCGCGAGAGCAAGCGGACCUCAUAAAGUGCGUCGUAGUCCGGAUUGGAGUCUGCAACUCGACUCCAUGAAGUCGGAAUCGCUAGUAAUCGUGGAUCAGAAUGCCACGGUGAAUACGUUCCCGGGCCUUGUACACACCGCCCGUCACACCAUGGGAGUGGGUUGCAAAAGAAGUAGGUAGCUUAACCUUCGGGAGGGCGCUUACCACUUUGUGAUUCAUGACUGGGGUGAAGUCGUAACAAGGUAACCGUAGGGGAACCUGCGGUUGGAUCACCUCCUUACCUUAAAGAAGC